Molecule: ribosomal RNA, 232 nt
Filed under: uncultured bacterium
Lineage: Bacteria
Description: partial 16S ribosomal RNA
Rfam family: Bacterial small subunit ribosomal RNA
Source: RNAcentral
CGGACGGGUGAGUAAUGUAUGGGGAUCUGCCUGAUGGCGGGGGAUAACUACUGGAAACGGUAGCUAAUACCGCAUAAUGUCUACGGACCAAAGCGGGGGACCUCCGGGCCUCGCGCCAUCAGAUGAACCCAUAUGGGAUUAGCUAGUAGGUAAGGUAACGGCUUACCUAGGCGACGAUCCCUAGCUGGUCUGAGAGGAUGAUCAGCCACACUGGGACUGAGACACGGCCCAG